AUACGGAGGCUCCGAGCGUUAUCCGGAUUUAUUGGGUUUAAAGGGUGCGCAGGCGGCCAUUUAAGUCAGCGGUUAAAUCGUGGGGCUCAACCCCAUUCUGCCGUUGAUACUGGGUGGCUUGAUUGCGGUCGAGGUUGGCGGAAUUAGUUGUGUAGCGGUGAAAUGCAUAGAUAUGACGAAGAACACCGAUUGCGUAGGCAGCUGACCAGACCGCAAAUGACGCUCAUGCACGAAAGUGCGGGGAUCGAACAGGAUUAGAUACCCUGGUAGUCCGCACAGUAAACGAUGAAUACUUGUUUUCGGCGAUAUAAUGUCGGAGGCAAAGCGAAAGCGAUAAGUAUUCCACCUGGGGAGUACGCCGGCAACGGUGAAACUCAAAGGAAUUGACGGGG
RNAcentral lists this ribosomal RNA (392 nucleotides) under uncultured bacterium. RNAcentral's name for it is "partial 16S ribosomal RNA". It matches the Rfam family "Bacterial small subunit ribosomal RNA", at positions 523 to 918 of the family's 1533-position model. The record is from RNAcentral.